UUGAUACGAGAUGUUUUCUUGCUGUGGGCACCUAGAGUUCACUUCUAUUGACCCUUAAGAAGAGCCAUAUAGAAUGUACCCAUCAUUUUCUCUUGAAGCACAGAAGUGGGGGUAUUUAUACCUGCACUUGUAUCUCCCAUGGGCUAGGUGUUGCCUCAUGAACUUAGAAGCCUCUCGUCUUUCCCAAGCUGUGCAUAUAAACUCUUGCCUGGUUUUAUGAAAGCACCAAGGCGGGGAAGACUUGCUAUGCAGUGGAGAUGAGUUCUAGUUAAUGAAAUGUGAAUGGCAGUGAUAUGCACCAGUUCCUGGCCUGGACCAUAAAAUCCUGAGAUACAUGAUCCUCCAUCCUUUUUCACCUUCGGCAAACUUGAUGGACAUCAUGAGCAUUCUAAGUUUAGAGGCCAAUGGUUGAAGAUGGUGGAGCCACGAGAUGGAAGGAGCCUGGAUCCCCAAAUCACAGCAUGGAAAUGAGCUAGCUUUUUGUCUAGGGCUAUAUUUUAGGCUUUAUCUGAGCUAGAAAUAACCUUUUGUUUGAGCUAUAAUACAUUUUUUUUUAAGUUUUAUUACAGCAUCUAGCAAAAACAGCAGCCAAAAACUAUUGCAACAAAAGCAAAUUGUAAAUUCCAUGUGGGAAAUUAUUUAUAUUUUCAUCUUUUCUCAGCAUGGAGCAUUCCCUUUUAUCAUUUAUAUAAACAUCUGUAUCUAAUAAAUGAUUCCUGAUAUUUACAAUUUAAAGUAGUAUUGCUUGCUUUUGUGAAGAAUCAAAUCCAUGCUCAUUGUACUUUCAUUCCCAUAUAAUUCUCUAAA
This 807-nucleotide long non-coding RNA is filed under the name Homo sapiens (human). Its description in RNAcentral is "HSALNT0135134". Lineage: Eukaryota; Metazoa; Chordata; Mammalia; Primates; Hominidae. The record is from RNAcentral.